UCCAUGUUGUCAUAGCUGAACAGGAUCCAUCGCCAGUGAUCACUGCAAUCAGUGAGUUGAAGAACAUUUGAACGAUCGCAAGUCGCUUGGAAAUUUGAAGAAGAAUUAUUUGCACUACAGUGCCAAAGUAGUACGUGCGUUUCAGCAGAACAACUGCGCCCCCUGCUGAAAUGGGUGUGAAGAUGCUGCUGUGCUUCCCUUUCUACAGACGCUGCAAGGAGAGGUGCAAAAGACAGUGCCCUCCAGAGACUGCAGUAGCAAGUGAAGAGUUGAAACCUCGGCUGUCCUCCACUGCGUCCUGGGGCAGUGAAGGGGACAGUGGCAGUAGUACGAGAUGCCCACAGGCCUAUUUUUCCCACAAGGCUCGGCUUUCCCUCCGACACCAGAUGGACAGCAACAUCAACGCAGUGGAUGCCACAUACUAACUCUGUCCCGCAAGCAGUCUCUUGAGAAUCCUUGAAAGUGAACUUUAGCCUUUCAGCCCCAAACCAGUUUACAUCCCUUGGUUGGGCGCCUUAGAGGGCAGCUGGAGGAUGAGGCGUUGGGAAGAUGGAAGGAGCAGCAUGAAAAAGAACUAUUCAAAUUUGUGCACUAAAUUUCACCUCGACGGGCACCCGUGAGUGACUUUGCAAUGUCAAUAUAAGUGCAUACAUUUCUCUAACACGGUACAGGUGAGUGUCAUUUGGUGAAAGGGGAAAUGAUGAAACCCUCUAGUGAGACAUUUACAUGAUCACAAAGUGCUUUUUUUGUAGCCUGUAGUAUUUGUCCUCUGCAGUCUGUUUUUUACAUGUAUCUGUAGCAUCUGUGAUUCUGAUUUUAACUGAUCUGGAUGCUUCUGGUUAGUGUAAUCUGAGCAAUGCAAUUAAGUAUUUUGAGCUAGAGAACAAAUAGUUCAAAAGUUCACACUACAUAUGCCUCACUAGACAUACAUUUAGUGGAUACUAUGAAAGCAACUGAAUAUGUUGACGUAAACAGAAAGGAGAAUUUUAAAACUGUUUUUUCUUUCUUUGUAAGUGCCAAUUCUUCCCCUACAAGCUGUAAAAGGUACAUUAACAAGCAUUUAGUGCACAGCUAGAACAUAAUUUCAAGUUCAGUUUGAUUAUAUAUGAUUUCAGUGCCUUCUGAAACACAUUAUGUCCCAGAAAGGUUUAUGAAGCAAUUCUAAAAAGAUUGUAGUUUCAUGUGAAUGAUGUACGAUUUUAUGAUCUCACCAUUUAAUGUACUGAAUGUAUUAAACAAGAAAGAAAGAAAAUGGCGAUGUUCAUCAUGAUCCACUCUAUGUUUCUGUUGCAACAAAUGUCUGUAAAAACAGGGUUCACAUGUGCUAACAAUGUUUGUGCAUCUGGCCAUCUUGACUUUGUCUUUGUGCAUGUAUACAGGAACAACAUUUGAGGUUUCUAAAAGUUAUAUACGUUUCUUUUUACACCUAAACUUCAAAAAGAACAGAUACUUCACAAAACACUGUUACACG
Xyrauchen texanus (razorback sucker) is the source of this 1471-nucleotide long non-coding RNA. RefSeq lists it as uncharacterized. The transcript is spliced from 3 exons. Lineage: Eukaryota; Metazoa; Chordata; Actinopteri; Cypriniformes; Catostomidae. The record is from RefSeq and is a predicted model, not a curated record.